Molecule: transfer RNA, 75 nt
Filed under: Pseudomonadota bacterium
Lineage: Bacteria; Pseudomonadati; Pseudomonadota
Also listed under: 1 other name
Description: tRNA-Val
Rfam family: tRNA
About the family: Transfer RNA (tRNA) molecules are approximately 80 nucleotides in length. Their secondary structure includes four short double-helical elements and three loops (D, anti-codon, and T loops).
Source: RNAcentral
GGGCGGUUAACUCAGUGGGAGAGUGCCACCUUCACACGGUGGAAGUCACUGGUUCAAACCCAGUACCGCCUACCA